AGGGGGCUAGCGUUGUCCGGAAUCAUUGGGCGUAAAGCGCGUGUAGGCGGUCCGGUAAGUCCGCUGUGAAAGUCGGGGGCUCAACCCUCGGAUGCCGGUGGAUACUGUCGGGCUUGAGUACGGAAGAGGCGAGUGGAAUUCCUGGUGUAGCGGUGAAAUGCGCAGAUAUCAGGAGGAACACCAAUUGCGAAGGCAGCUCGCUGGGACGUUACUGACGCUGAGACGCGAAAGCGUGGGGAGCAAACAGG
RNAcentral lists this ribosomal RNA (248 nucleotides) under uncultured bacterium. RNAcentral's name for it is "partial 16S ribosomal RNA". It matches the Rfam family "Bacterial small subunit ribosomal RNA", at positions 529 to 776 of the family's 1533-position model. The record is from RNAcentral.